Molecule: long non-coding RNA, 13587 nt
Organism: Salvelinus fontinalis (brook trout)
Lineage: Eukaryota; Metazoa; Chordata; Actinopteri; Salmoniformes; Salmonidae
Exons: 10
Source: RefSeq, a predicted model, not a curated record
CGUGACUGUCCACUUCCGGUUCUCUGAAACGCGCGACAAGGAAGUGCCAUUGCCUUCUGUUUUGCUGCCGUAAUAGACGAAAACUAUCCCCGGCUCGGAAUUUUUUUGAUACAUGUGAACAUAUCAUCGUAAUGUAUGUUUUUUCAAUAUAGUUUAAUCAGAUUAUUGAAUUUUUUUCGGGAGUUUUGCCGUGUUCCGUCCUCUGACUGUGUUUACGUCGGAGAGAUUUGUGCCACUCGGCUAGUGCCAAUGCUAAGUGAAGAGGGAAAUUUGCCAUUCUGAAUCCAAACAACGACUCAUCUGGACAGAGGACACCUUGUUCAACAUUCUGAUGAAAGAUCAGCAAAAGUAAGAGCCAAUUUAUGAUGUUAUUUCAUAUAUCUGUCGUGCAUGUUGACUGGUCGUGGGCGCCCAAGUUUUUCUGUCUAUUGCUGCUAUGCUAAUAUCACGCUACAUUUUGUUUGCGCUGUAAAACAUUUAAUAAAUCGGAAAUAUUGUCUAGAAUCACAAGAUGCCUGUCUUUCAAUUGCUGUACACUAUGUAUUUUUCAGAAAUGUUUUAUGAUGAGUAAUUAGGUAUUUGACGUUGGUGUCUGUAAAUAUUAUGGCUGCUUUCGGUGCAAUUUCUGAUUGUAGCUGAAAUGUAAACUAUGAAUUAUACCUGAAAUAUGCAAAUCUUUUGAAAAAAACAUAUGCUAUACAAUAAAUAUGUUAUCAGAUUGUUAUCUGAUGAGGUUGUUUCUUGGUUAGUGGCUAUUUUUAUCUUUAUUUGGACGAAUUUGUGAUAGCUACUGAUGGAGUAAAAAACGGAUGGAGUAAGAAAAGUGGUGUCUUUUGCUAACGUGGUUAGCUAAUAGAUUUACAUAUUUUGUCUUCCCUGUAAAAUAUUUUAAAAAUCGGACAUGUUGGCUUGAUUCACAAGAAGUGCAUCUUUCAUCUGGUGUCUUGGACUUGUUAAUGUGUGAAAGUUAAAUAUUAAAAAAAAUAUAUAUUUUGAAUUUCGCGCCCUGCACUUUGAGCUGGAUGUUGUCAUAAGUGUACCGGUGUCGGGCUGCACCCCUAACAGGUUUUAACUUUGUUCUUAUACUGUACGUGUUGUCACUUACCAGUUCACUUUAGAAUGAGGCCUCCAGCCACUCUGUUUUAAUGUUUGGUUGUUUUUAUAUUUUUAUCAAGUUAUUCUGGACACCUUCCCCUCUAAGCCCCUCCUCACUCCUCCUCCCUGACCCCUCAUAAUGUUGGAGGGACUUGUUGCCUGGGUAUUCACAUACCUUAGGAAAAUAUGGCAGCAGCUUAAAUACAGACUAGCUCUCAAUCGCCCUCCUCAAAGGUACCCUGUCUGUUUGGUGACUCAGGGUGUCCACUGUCUGUUUCUACGAUGACAUCAUCAUCGCUCUUACCCUCAUUGAAUUUGACAGCUCUUCAACUUGCCAAACAUGAUAUGCUACCAGAAUCCCUGCAGUAAACAAUAUAGCACGAUAAUUAUAAUAAUGUAUCAUACAUUUGCUGUAGCACUGUAGCUGAAGUCUAGACCCACCCUUGAUCCUUGUCUUCCCAGGAGCGGUGGAACUAGAGAACCUCUCCCCUCUUAAGGAUCGGACCCUUUUUUUCAAUUUUCACCUAAAAUGACAUACCCAAAUCUAACUGCCUGUAGCUCAGGCCCUGAAGCAAGGAUAUGCAUAUUCUUGGUACCAUUUGAAAGGAAACACGUUUAAGUUUGUGGAAAUGUAAAAGGAAUGUAGGAGAAUAUAACACAUUAGAUCUGGUAAAAGAUAAUACAAAGAAAAAAACAACCGCUGUUUGUACCAUCAUCUUUGAAACGCAAGAGAAAGGGCAUAAUGUAUUAUUCCAGCCCAGGUUCAAUUUAGAUUUUGGCCACUAGAUGGCAGCAGAGCAUGUGCAAAGUUUUAGACUGAUCCAAUGAACCAUUGCGUUUCUGUUCAAAAUAUUGUAUCAAGACUGCCCACAUGUGCCUAUGUGCCCAUUUGUUUAUUAAUAACUGUUCAUGUUCAAAGCUGUGCACUCUCCUCAAACAAUAGCAUGGUAUUCUUUCACUGUAAUAGCUAAAUUGGACAGUGCAAUUAGAUUAACAAGAAUUUAAGCUUUCUGCCAAUAUCAGAUAUGUCUAUGUCCUGGGAAAUGUUCUUGUUACUUACAACCUCAUGCUAAUCGCAUUAGCCUACAUCCCGCAGGGGACCCACCGGUUCUGAAGAAGUUUUUAAACAAAGAUGCCCUCCGAGAGUUUGAUCGGCCCUUUUAGGUCAAAGCAGGUAAGUGAUCCAUCAAGGUUACCAUUGAAAAUAUUCACAAGAACUAUACAAAUAAUAAUAAUAUUCAAACUCAAUAUGCAAAACGAGUUGUUAGAAAUUGAGCAAAAGGUUGGCAGGAAAUCUAUAAAAUAAAAAAUAACUCAGCUGUUGUUGUUGUUCAUUUCUGGGCACUCACUACACUUAUCCUGAGUUCUUGCUGAUCAGUCCCGCUUGCGUGACCUUUUGUUUGCUAAAAGAAUGUAAACAAACUAUCAGGAUUUUUUUGUCUGGCAAAGGAAAUAAAUUAUUCAACAUGCCGUUCUUUCAACCAAACCAGUGUUUGGUUUACUCAUGAACUUCUUUGGGACUCGGGGGCAGUAUUGAGUAGCUUGGAUGAAUAAGGUGCCCAGAGUAAACUGCCUGCUACGCAGGCCCAAAAGCUAGAAUAUGCAUAUAAUUAGUAGUUUUAGAUAGAAAACACUCCGACGUUUCCAAAACUGUUUGAAUGAUGUCUGUGAGUAUAGUAGGACUCAUGUGGCAGGCAAAAACCUGACAAAAAAUCCAACCAGGAUGUGGGAAAUCUGAGGUUUGUAGUUUUUCAAGUGAUUGCCUAUCCAAUAUACAGUGUAAAAUGUUGUCCGAUUGCACUUCCUACGGCUUCCACUAGAUGUCAACAGUCUUUAGAACUUUGUUUCAGGCUUCUACUGUGAAGGGGGAGCGAAUAAGAGCUGUUUGAACCAGGGGUCUGGCAGAAAGCCAUUAGUUUAGUCACGCGUGCGGCCGUGAGCACGAGCUCUGUUCCUUUUCAUUUCUAAAGACAAAUGAAUUGUCCAGUUGAAACAUUAUUGAAGAUGUAUGAUAAAAACAUCCUAAAGAUUGAUUAUAUACAUCGUUUGACAUGUUUCUACGAACUGUAAUAUAAUUUUUAUAUUUUUUGACUUUUCGUCUGGACCUAGUGCCUGCGCCUUGUGCAUUUGGAUUACUGGACUAAACGCGUGAACAAAAAGAAGGUUUUGGACAUAAAUGAUGGACUUUAUCGAACAAAACUAACAUUUAUUGUGGAACUGGGAUUCCUGGGAGUGCAUUCUGAUGAAGAUCAUCAAAGGUAAGUGAAUAUUUAUAAUGCUAUUCUGACAUCUGUUGACUCCACAACAUGGCGGAUAUCUUCAUGGCUUGUUUGGGCUCUGAGCGCUGUACUCAGAUUAUAGCAUGGUGUGCUUUUUCCGUAAAGUUUUUUUAAAAUCUGACACAUCGGCUGCAUUAAGGAGAGGCUUAUCUAAAGUUCCAUGUAUAAUACUUGUAUCUUUCAUCAAUGUUUAUUAUGAGUAUUUCUGUAAAUUGAUGUGGCUCUCUGCAAAAUCACCGGAUGUUUUGGAGGCAAAACAUUACUGAACAUAAUGCGCCAAUGUAAGCUGAGAUUUUUGGAUAUAAAUAUGAACUUUAUCGAACAAAACAUACAUGUAUUGUGUAACAUGAAGUCCUAUGAGUGUCAUCUGAUGAUCAUCAAAGGUUAGUGAUUCAUUUUUAGCUCUAUUUCUCCUUUUUGUGACUACUCUCUUUGGCUGGAAAAACAGCUGUGCUUUUCUGUGAAUAGGUGCUGACCUAACAUAAUGAUAUGUGAAAUCGGACACUGUGGUGGGAUUAACAACAAGUUUAUCUUUAAAAUGGUGUAAAAUACUUGUAUGUCUGAGGAAUUUUAAUUCUGAGAUUUCUGUUGUUUUGAAUUUGGCGCCCUGCACUUUCACUGGCUGUUGUCAUACCGAUCCCGUUAACGGGAUCCCAGCUAUAAGAAGUUUUAAAAAACAUAGCUGAUAUGGCUGACUUGCUUUCACAAAUGUGGUUUCUACUGACAGCAGAUAAGAGGCAAUCCGUAAUUUCAAUUAAGACAUUGAUGAGCGAGCUAGGAUGGACGUAGUCAAUAUAACUAUUUGUUCAGCACCUUUGAAAUGUACAGUGGCAGAAUUCAGAACAGUAUUGUCCCUGUACACCAAGUCAGGAAAGUACGAUAAAUAAAGGGGUCAUAUAAGCAGACAAUGAAAGCUCUUACCAUAGUUGAUGAUUACAUUUCUCUAAAAAGGCUAUAGGCUACAUGUGCACCACCAAGUCAGAACAGUAGGUGAAAUUAAGCGCUGAAAAGGGACCCAAUUAUUAGGGUGAGGCACAUGAGCUACCAACAGCUUACUACACACCAUGCACUUAGUAUUACUUUCUUAGGUACAGUAUACUGUAGAUAUCUCACUGGCAUAUUACAUCAUUUAUGCAGCAGCAUACAAUACAUUUUUGGACUCAUCUUGUUGUGCUGUGCUCACUUGAACAGGAAGGUGGCGCGGCGGUCCUUCAUGGGCAAAUUUUGUCAUCAAAGUCUAGCAUUUUCUGGAGUUAUGGUGCUUUCAAGACAAUUGGGAACUCUUGGGAAAAAACAAGGUUGAAUCAUGACGUCAGUGAUCUUCAGGUCAGAGCUCUAGAAAGAGGCCAGAGUUCCCGACAUGCACUCCAAGUUAGAUGACUGUUCAAAGCAUAUUUUCCCAGAUGGGAGCUAUUUUUUUCCCCGAGUUCCCAGUUGUCUUGAACUCAUUGAAAUCAGAUUUCCCAGUUCUGAGUUUCAAGUUGUUUUAAGCGUGGCAGAGGUCCUGCUGGAUUGACAGCAUGGGCAAAGUUGAAUAUUUAAUAUUCAAAGCUUGGAAAAGAGACCCUUAAACACAGACUUGGGACCACACACCCACUCCACUGAAUAGUAAUGUAAAAUAAUUAAUAAAUGCGACCAUAUUAGUCCAGUAGCAGGGAUAUGGACGACCGGUUGGUACGCUAUCAGGACUCACCAGAGAGGGGAAGAAGGUAAACAACCGUUCAAAAGUUUGGGGUCACUUAGAAAUGUCCUUGUUUUUGAAAGAAAAGUACACUUUUUGUCCAUUAAAAGAAUAUAAAAUUGAUCAGAAAUACAGUGUAGACAUUGUUAAUGUUGAAAAGACUAUUAUAGCUGGAAACAGCAGAUUUUUAAUGGAAUAUCUACAUAGGCGUACAGAGGCCCAUUAUCAGCAAUCAUCACUCCUGUGUUCCAAUGGCAUGUUGUGUGAACUGUCUGCACUCUGCAGAUGGUUGUUUUAUGGACUUUCAUGGUUUACAGUCUUUUGUGUGUUUUCUAUCCUGAACCUCUUGAAUCAAUUGCUUGGUUGUUUAUUUAUAUGUUUGUAUGUUUAUUCUGUGUUUCCCUGGCCAUCUACUUAAUCUUAAAGUGAUAGUUCAAAUCCACUGUUUAGGUUGGGCAUAGCAAUUGCACCAGUUCCUUCCCACAGUAUAAUAGGGAAACACUAGCUAAGUUGCUGUGCUUCUUAUUGUUUUGUCAGAUGUGAAAUAAUAAGAGAAAGGUCAUGUCAAUGGGUUUUCCAGAUGUUAGUGUAUGUUCAUUAAGCAGUUAAUUUUUCAUCACUUCGCUAACGUUUCAUCUUGUUCCCAAAGGAUUGCGUAAGGGAGAGCCAGUCACGUACUGGACCAGCAACGAUUAGUGAGGGGGAGGAGAAAAAGGAGCAGUCGGCUGAGAAGCCCAAAACUUCUUCCACCACCUCCUCCUCUGGUUUCUCCCUGGGCAGGCCCCAGGCCCAGCCCACUGCUGGGAGAAUCUCUGGUGUGGAAUCUCUGGUGUUAAUAAUAGUUCUCCCUGUGUUCUGAUGACUUGGGAAUCCCAAGUGAAAGAAAAAUAUGAUAUUUAUUGAUUGACUAGUGCGCUGAGCCAUACGGUACCAGACAUGUCCAUCCACAGCAGCCUGUCCUCGGUGCACUGCUCACUGGACCUGGAGCGCUACUAGCUGAUCUGAGGCCUGCUGGACAACAACCUGGGAGAGCCUAUCGAGGAGUUAAUUUGCUCGUACAACCUACAGGACCCCAGUAACUAUUGUUGAGUGGUGACAUGUACACCAGCCUUUCCAUCCUGGUGGAUAUGAUGAACGUCAGUCUGGAGUUGCUGGGCAGCCCCAAGGCCACUGGACAGAAACCAUACUCACUAGCCAGGUUUGAUUUCAUAAAGUCCAAGCUGCUGUUUGAGAGUUUCUCUAACGGUUCCAAGUCUGUGAAUCUGGUGUCUCACUCCAUCUUGGCAUAUGACACCCAUUACACCUGGCCUGGCAUGGAUGCGGGCAGCAGUGCCAGGGGCAAGCACAAUGUUUUCGACUGCAUCCUGCAGCCAAGACAGGUGUCAAUCGGGCCACCCUCCAGCUAGAGCUGCAUUACAGGUGAACGUGGUACCUUUUGGCGUUUGGAAAUUGCUCCCAAGGAUGAACCAGACUUGUGCAGGUCUACAAUUUUUUUUCUCUGAGGUCUUGGCUGAUUUCUUUUGAUUUUCCCAUGAUUUCAAGUAAAGAGGCACUGAGUUUGAAGGUAAGCCAUCCACAGGUACACCUGUGGACUCAAAUUAUGUCAAUUAGCCUAUCAGAAUUUUCUAAAGCCAUGACAUCAUUUUCUGGAAUUUUCCAAGCUGUUCAAAAAACCAAAGCCUUGUUCCGUUCGACAAAUUCCAAAAAGUAUCCGUAAUGGUCGUAGAAACAUGUCAAAUGUUUUUUAUAAUCAAUCCUCAGGUUGUUUUUAACAAACAUAAUUGAUAAUAUUUCAACCGGACCAUAACCUAUUCAAUAAGAGAGAAAAGCAAACUGGAGAGCUCCCCUCUGGCGCGCAGGCACUAUUCAGAGGACACCUGACUACUUUUAAAAAAUCUCGUUCAUUUUUCUAAUCAAAAGCCUGAAACUAUGUCUAAAGCCUGGUCACAGCCUGAGGAAGCCAUUGGAAAAGGAAUCUGGUUGAUACCCCUUUAAAUGGAAGAAAGACUGGCCAGGAAACACAGAAUUAAAAAAUAAUAUAUCACUUCCGGGUUAUAUUUUCUCAGGUUUUCGCCUGCAAAAUCAGUUUUGUUAUACUCACAGACAAUAUUUUGACAAUUUUGGAAACUUUGGAGUUUUCUAUCAUAAUCUGUAAAUUAUAUGCAUAUUCUACGAUCUUGACCUGAGAAAUAGUCAGUUUACCUUGGGAACGUUCUUAAAAAUAAAAAAAUAUGACCCCUAGCGUCAAGAGGUUAUUAAGGUAGUCUUCUUAUCAACUUUUAUAACUCUAAUAGUCAAUCUGAAUGGAGGUUGAGGUGGAAUAAUAACUGUUGGGUAUCCUAACGCUGAUCAAUUCCUUUAGGAAUUACACAUCACUUUGCAAGCCAGCAUAAUGUGAAUUGCAGGCCUGAUGUGGCCUGUAAACCAGGAGUUUCCUAACAGCAAUGUGUUAGGGUGUAAAACUAGGCCAUCAAAGUAAGGCCUUAUGAUAUAUGUGUUGUCAUAGUUUAAUUUUAAUGAUAGCAUUCACCUAGGUCAGUGGCUCCCAAACUUUUAUAGUCCCGUACCCCUUCAAACAUUCAACCUCCAGCUGCGUACCCCUUCUAGCACCAGGGUCAGUGCACUCUCAAAUGUAUUUUUUUGCCUUCAUUGUAAGCCUGCCACACACACUAUACGAUACAUUUAAUAAACAUAAGAAUGAGUGUGAGUUUUUGUCACAACCCGGCUCGUGGGGAGUGACAAAGAGCUCUUAUAGGACCAGGGCACAAAUAAUAAUAUAAUAAUAAUCAAUAAUUUUACAUAUACAACUUUAUCUGUUCAUUUUUAAAUUGUGAAUAACUCACCACAGGUUAAUGAGAAGGGUGUUUGAAAGGAUGCACAUACCUCUGCAAUGUUGGGUUGUAUUGGAGAGAGUCUCAGUCUUAAAUCAUUUUCCACACAGAGUCUCUGCCUGUGUUUAGUUUUCAUGCUAGUGAGGGCCGAGAAUCCACUCUAACAUAGGUACGUGGUUGCAAAGGGCAUCAGUGUCUUAACAGUGCGAUUUGCCAAGGCAGGAUACUCUGAGCAUAGCCCAAUCCAGAAAUCUGGCUGUGGCUUCUGAUUAAAGAAAAUUUCCACAACCGCUUGUUGCAAUUUCGAUGAGUCUCUCUUGUUCAGAUAUCGGUAAGUGGACUGGAGGUAGGACAUGAAAGGGAUAACAAAUCUAGUUGUAUGUGUCAUCUGUUUUGGAAAAGUACCUGCGUAAUUGCGCACCCAACUCGCUCAGGUGCUUCGCUAUAUCACAUUUGACAUUGUCCUUAAGCUUGAGUUCAUAUGCACACAAAAUUCAUACAAUGAUGGAAAUACCUGUGUAUUGACCUUGUUAAUGCAGACAGAGAAGAGCUCCAACUGCUUAAUCAUAGCCUCAAUUUGACUGAAAGUAGUGUACAUUUAACACUUUCAGAGUUAAAUAUACACCAUUGAUUUUGCUGUGUGCUUAGAGGAUGUAUAGUCCUAGGCCUAUGUUGUUGUAUACUGUAGGUGAAGUUGUGGGCCAAUUUGCAUAUAUUCUUAUGUGGAACUGCAUAAAAAUCUUUUUUAUUUUUGCUUCAAACCAUUUAGAAAUGUUGAUCCCAAUGUCACAUAUUGGCCCCAUUAUUUAUAGAGUACCAGUCAAAAGUUUGGCUACACCUACUCAUUCAAGGGUUUUUCUUUAUUUUUAUUAUUUUCUACAUUGUAAAAUAAUAGUGAAGACAUCAAAACUAUGAAAAAACACAUAUGGUAUCAUGUAGUAACCAAAAAAGUGUUAGACAAAUCAAAAUAUAUUUUUUACUUAAGAUUCUUCAAAGUAGCCACCCUUUGCCUUGAUGACAGCUUUGCACUCUAAAAUGGCACCCUUUUCCCUUUUAGCCAGGGCUUUGGGCUGUAAUGAUGGGCUCUGGCCAAAAGUAGUGAACUACAUAAGGAAUAAGGUGCCAUUUUAGACAUUACUCUUUAGGCUUCAUGUAGACACAGACCCAUAUUUACUAAUCAUUCGCUUCUCCUCCCUCCUUCUUUCUCUCCUGUCAGGUCAACUAGGGACUCUUCCUGUUUCACGGUUGUCUCAACAACCUGUGUGUGUUUCUCAUCUUUGAUUGGCUCCAGUUGGUUCGGGACUUCCUACGCAUGCCCUUGAGAAGGGGUGGGUGGUCCACCUCGCCAGCGCUGGCCCAGCGGCAGCAGUAACCCAGGCACCACGGGUGCUGUCAUGCACUAGACAGUCAAGGGCGGCGUGUUCACCAAGAGGUCCACUGUGCCUGUCAUGCAGGAUCGGUACCCGGAGGUCAAGAUCAACGUGACGGGCACUGAGUUUGUGGUGGUGAAGGAUUCGGCUUGUCUGGACACCAAUGCCAUCAUUCUGAAGGGCACCACUGUACUCACCUACAAACCCCGUCUGCUUGACAGACCGUUCUCUGGCAGCCUGGCCGGCAUCGAGUGUUUUUCCUGUCGGCUCGGCAGCGAGCAGCAGACAGCCUUGUCCAUCAUCGACCCAGUCAACAUGCAGGUGGAGCUGUGUGGCAGUCCCACCUACCAGAGCAGCUUUGGCCUUCUAGAUGUCUUCAACAUGGCGGACUUCCCAUCACUACUGGAGGUCAGGGUUCCGUCAAUGGUGGGGAUUGCAGAAAGGCCAUAUAAAGCACCUGUUCAUUUUCUGUUUCGACACAUUUUGUCCCAUUUCAUGCCUACUGAACUGAACAUCACAGGAAAGCCAAAAAGAUGAUCAAAGACAACAACCACCCGAGCCACUGCCUGUUCACCCCGCUAUCAUCAAGAAGGAGAGAUCUAGUUCCCUGCUUUGGACAUCUGGCUUUCUUACAACAACGUUCAGCUCUUCCUGUCUAUCGCCAAAUCCAUCCCCACCACCGGUUCUCCCGGGCCCAGCAACACUGCCGAUGACACCCUGGUAGCACCAUCCACAGCCAGCCCCAACCCCUCCACCUCUGAGAAAGACACCUUCAGGCACAAGACAGAGGCCCUGCUAGGUAUAUCACCUCAGAGGCCUACAGGGGUGUCGUAAAGUUAUAUGGUGAAUAGUGUUCCAUGAUGCCCCCCCCACACACACACACAAACAGAUUGGCUUUUCCUACUAGCACUGACUUUGCUGAUAACUACACUGAGCAAAUAUAAACACAAAUAUAACCACAAUUUCAUGAGCUGAAAUAAAAGUUUCUAGAAAUUGUCCAUACACACAACUUAUUUCUAUCAAAUUGUAUACACAAAUUUGUUUACAUCCCUGUUAGUGAGCAUGUAUCCUUUGCCAAGAUAAUCCAUCCACCUGAGAGGUGUAGCAUAUUAAAAAGCUGAUUAAAGAGCAUGAUCAUUACACAGGUACACCUUGUGUUGGGGACAAUAAAAGGCCACUCUAAAAUGUGCAGUUUUGUCAUAUAACAUAAUGCCACAGAUGUUUCAAGUUUUGAGGGAGCGGGAAAUUGGCAUGCUGACUGCAGGAAUCUCCACCAGAGCUGUUGCCAGGGAAUUGAAUGUUCAUUUCUCUACCAUAAUCCGUCUCCAAUGUUGUUUUAGAGAACUUGGCAGUACGUCCAAUCGACCUCACAACCGCAGACCCUGUGUAUGAUGAUGUCGUGUGGGCAAGCGGUUUGCUGAUAUCAACAGUGUGAACAGAGUGCCCUAUGGUGGCAGUGGGGUUAUGGUAUGGCAUUUUAUCGACGGCAAUUUGAAUGCACAGAGAUACCGUGACAAGAUCCUGAGACCCAUUCUCGUGCCAUUCAUCCGCCGCCAUCACCUCAUGUUUCAGCAUGAUAAUGCCACAGGCCACAAUCAACAGCCUGAUCAACUCUAUGCGAAGGAGAUAUGUCAUACUGCAUGUGGCAAAUGGUGGUCACACCAGAUACUGACUGGUUUUCUGAUCCACGCCCCUACAGAGGGUCAGCUGACUCGGUUACAGGAUCUAGGCUUCAGGAAGCAGGAUUGCCAAUGAGCCCUGAUCCACUGCAAAGGGCUCUAUGUGCUGCAACGAAUCGGCUCGACCCAGGAGGGCAACAACAGCUUCACUUUGUCAGGGGACUACUACAACAGAGAACUGUCAGGUUGGGAGCCCUUCAUCGAGCCCUGUAUCAGUCUGCAGGGUGCCUCCAGGCAUUGCGCCUCAAGAUGGGCAUCCACGCCAAGCAGACUGGAUGUCAACAUCACCUCUGUCCUUUUGGGUAUGACCUGCACUGCCCAAUAUUUGGACACAGUGGAUGCUUCUGACACGGCAGCCUAUUCCCUAUGUCUCUUGACCCGGGUCAAAAGUAGUGCACUAUGUCGUGAAUUGGCACACCUUGUUUAACUACAGUGGGUUAGCCCCGGAUAUAUGUAAGCCAUGUAUGUGUGAUCUGUAGUGGUGAACUUUGAAUGGAUUUGAGCACAGAUGAACCAUUAUAUUGACCAGAUAUUCUAGUGGCCCCUCUAAUAAUGAAAAUAAAUGUCUUACAAAAUGGAAGGCAGUCGGGAUGAGGCAAGAUCAGGUGGGAUCAUUCUAGCCAAUGAGAGGGCAGAUUUGCGUGUGAACUGCUGGCACAACGGUUUCGUCUAGUUACCACAGCCACAAAGUCAAAAUUGGUUAUAUCCCAAAAAUUCAUGAAAACUAAAAUGAGCUUUUUGGUUGUAAUUUAAGGUUAGUCAUAAGAUUAGCAGUGUGGUUGAUGUAGACUUUGUAGCUGUGGUAACUAGUGACGACCAGUCACAACUCCGAUAUAAAUAGUUUUUUCUCAAAGUUGCCGGUAUGUCACAUGGCCUACUUAUAUCACUGGUAACAACCUAAUCAUUACGUAACUUCUAUUCGAUCAAAUAAGCCACACGUAGCAAAUAAGCCACUGCAUAAGCCGCACCAAAAAAACUAAAAAGCUCCACUUGCUGGAGAAGAUUUUGGCCCAGUCAUGGCUUUCACUUUGCUUCUUCCGCUCUGAUUUUGAGUUUCCUCCUCACCUUGCUACUGCCCUCUUCUGGCUACACAGAGCAGUACAGCCUCACCACGAGCAUAUUAGCUGGCUGACUACUGCAAGAAAGAGGAGCAGACUCCCCAACCCUCGACAGCCCUAUCCUGGAUGGGCUCCUCGGUGGACCCCCCCCCCAGUGGGUACUGUUUCCCCCAAGUUUACACACACACGCAUCACUUGUUAUGAACUGAAAAUAGCCUUAGUAGAAAAAAGUAGAGCCCUCAUACUCAAUUGCUCCAGCACAUUACUGUAUUAGUUAGCGGGUAGUUACAAAAGUCUGAUUUAAUAUACGUUUGUUCUGGAGUAUAUGAUUGCGUGGUUCCCACUUGAUUUUAUGCUAACGUUUCGAUAGUGCCAGCAUUUCUUUGUAUUUCUAUUUGUAUCACAUCAUUUUGUGUUGAUUUUGGUGAUUGUUUUUUUGCAGUGCAACAAAGCUUUAUACAGAUGCAUUGGAAACCUGCCUGAAUUAUCGCCGCCUUCGCAUGGUUAUUGCACAUUUGGAUUGUUUGACGAAAAUGAAAAUGUUGAUUCAAGUGUUGGGAAUGACUGUCUAUUUACACAGCUCCUUUGCCUUGUCAAAAUGGUGUAUUAAGAGUUAAGACCGGCUCUCAUGUUUUUGUUCAAUCAUUUUGGUAACUUCUUACUUUACGGUCCUAGGCCUAUAUAGGUCUAUCGUGUCUAAAUUAUGCUAUCAGCUAACAGCUACGACAUUUGUUAUGGCCUUAUUAUGGCAGUGUAGGCCUUAUGGUGGAGGGCUUCAAGUCAAAGUAAGAUUGCUGUUAAGAUGUUAUUUAGCUUAGAUCCGGGUCUUUUGAUUGGUAGUAUGACCACAUAAUAUAAAAUAAAACACACUUGUCAUGGUUGGUAUUAAAACAUGUUUUUUUAGUACACCCUGACCUUUGCCCUCUCUUCUGACCCCUAGCACGUCUCUCCUCUCUGUGGUAACUGUCUCUCUCUGCUGUCAGGUGUCCCUCUUGCCUACCAGUCAGUUUGACUUGCCUUGAGCAGCACAUUGACUCCAGAGGUACAGUCCAUAGAUCACAGAGUGCAGCGGUUGGCCUCCACCAUAGAAAUAGAAUUACUAGAAUGGUAAUCUCUAAGUAGAAUGGGUGGACCGGUGGCCAGGAAGUAGUCGUGUUAUAUUUCUAUGGCAUCCACACCAUGGGUUUUCCCAUCUCAAUGCUUUUCCUUUAUCAUGUGUAUCAUCGCUAUCCUUACUUAAGUACAGCGUUAAUGCAACAUUAUUACAGAGUGUUUUGUGUAACACUAGUGUUUCACGAUCUUGUGACAAUAUUGGCAAAUUUGAUCCAUUGUUAAACUGAAGUCAGUAUAAUCAGCAUCCACAGAGACAGUCUUUUAUUGACUCCCCCCCCCCCCCCCCUAGUUAGAACAGAGCCAUUGUGUCUGGUGGUGCCGGAGUCGUGUUAGAAAGUUAGAUUAUCUGUUUAUUCUCAGACUUUCCUUUCUCCCUUUUUUUACUCUGUUUGUGUCAUGUUGUUUCACCUCCCCCAUUCAAUGUCAAUCUAUAUAAAUCCAUUGUGAUUAUCAUUGUUCACUAUCAUUAUUUACCUGGUUU